AACCUCCGCAAUGUGAGAAAUCGCGACGGGGGGAUCCCAAGUGCCAUUCUUAACGGGAUGGCUUUUCAUUAGUGUAAAGAGCUUUUGGAAUAAGAGCUGGGCAAGACCGGUGCCAGCCGCCGCGGUAACACCGGCAGCUCUAGUGGUAGCAAUUUUUAUUGGGCCUAAAGCGUCCGUAGCCGGUUUAAUAAGUCUCUGGUGAAAUCCUGUAGCUUAACUGUGGGAAUUGCUGGAGAUACUAUUAGACUUGAGAUCGGGAGAGGUUAGAGGUACUCCCAGGGUAGAGGUGAAAUUCUGUAAUCCUGGGAGGACCGCCUGUUGCGAAGGCGUCUAACUGGGACGAUUCUGACGGUGAGGGACGAAAGUUAGGGGCGCGAACCGGAUUAGAUACCCGGGUAGUCCUAACUGUAAACGAUGCGGACUUGGUGUUGGGGUGGCUUUGAGCUGCUCCAGUGCCGAAGGGAGCUGUUAAGUCCGCCGCCUGGGAGGUACGGUCGCAAGACUGAAACUUAAAGGAAUU
Molecule: ribosomal RNA, 520 nt
Filed under: uncultured bacterium
Lineage: Bacteria
Description: bacterial SSU rRNA
Rfam family: Archaeal small subunit ribosomal RNA
Source: RNAcentral